Molecule: long non-coding RNA, 855 nt
Filed under: Solanum tuberosum (potato)
Lineage: Eukaryota; Viridiplantae; Streptophyta; Magnoliopsida; Solanales; Solanaceae
Description: long non-coding RNA (STUB_LNC000543)
Source: RNAcentral
UGGGAAAUUAAAGCUUGUAACAUCGGUGUGAAUUAAGCGUAGAAUGAUGGUGGAUAAGAAUUUGGAACACAACAAGAACCGACAGAACAAGUAAAUCUACUCAUCACUUUUGAAAACAGAGACAUCACCUCAAAUAUCAACCCUAACCACAAAAUAGGAAAUAAAAUCUUUAUAACAAAACAUGAAAAAACUUUGUAUUAUAUAAUUUCAUAGAUACAAACACAGUAGAAGGAGAAAGCUGACCAAUCAGAUCCACUGACAAAUAGAGAUUAGAGAGAUGUCUUUUGUACAUUUGAUUUGUGCCCUUUUGAGUAAAAAAUUAGGGAAUUAAAAAACCUAACUUGAUAUAGGAAUAGUUUUGUUAUCUUUUUAAAAUCCAAUUAUACACAUUUUGAAAAAUAAGCAAACUUUACCAACUACAUUUUCGUAAGUUACAAUUAUAUGUAAUGAAAUUAAAUUUCAGGAAAAUGUAGGAGUUGUGCAAUGAAAUGUUUUCGAAUAAGUCUUUUGGAGAGACAUUUCUAAGACAAACAUUCGUCCCACCCAACGCUGCAAGCCCCCAAAUCAUGCACCAACCAUUGCAGUGAAACAUUGGAACGGUCCAAAGAUAAAUAGGGAACAAACUCAUCUGGUGAAGCAAAAAAAUAGCGAUGGUAUUGAGAUACGCACCUCUGUGACUGUAAACAACUCAUUUGGGUCACGACGUUGUACCUGAAGUACAGUUAAUACUAAUAUGAUCAAAUUAUGUUCUCGACCAUCUUAUAGCAAAAGUGCUAUCCCCACUUUUGAGGAGACUUUCAUAAUCGUGAUUGCAAGGUUUUAAGUUUUCACCAACAGGGGAUUCAUCAGUUUGAC